This 250-nucleotide ribosomal RNA is filed under the name uncultured prokaryote. RNAcentral's name for it is "partial 16S ribosomal RNA". It matches the Rfam family "Bacterial small subunit ribosomal RNA", at positions 524 to 773 of the family's 1533-position model. The record is from RNAcentral.
UACGGAGGAUGCGAGCGUUAUCCGGAUUUAUUGGGUUUAAAGGGUGCGUAGGCGGGUGCACAAGUCAGGGGUGAAAUCCCGGAGCCUAACUCCGGAACUGCCCUUGAUACUGUGGGUCUUGAAUUCGGAUGCCGUGGGAGGAAUGAGUAGUGUAGCGGUGAAAUGCAUGGAUAUUACUCAGAACGCCGAUUGCGAAGGCAUCUCACGAAUCCGCGAUUGACGCUGAGGCACGAAAGCGUGGGGAUCAAUC